GUUCAGGAUCCGUGGCUCAGUGGAAGAGCAUCUGCCUUAUGGGCAGAAGUUCUCAGGUUCAGUCUCAAGUGUCUGCCUGAACA
This 83-nucleotide transfer RNA is filed under the name Sphaerodactylus townsendi. Its description in RNAcentral is "tRNA-Ile". The stretch from base 6 to 61 matches the Rfam family "tRNA". From Rfam's summary of the family: Transfer RNA (tRNA) molecules are approximately 80 nucleotides in length. Lineage: Eukaryota; Metazoa; Chordata; Lepidosauria; Squamata; Sphaerodactylidae. The record is from RNAcentral.